CUUAACCGACUGAGCCACCCAGAUGCCCUUAUUUUCUAUAGGAUUUAAAAGACAAAUACAUAAGAUGGAAUUAUGAAUCUAUGUUAAUGAGUAUGCAAUAUGUAAAGAUUUAGUUUGUGGCAUCAAUAACAGAGGAGUUUUCUUAUGCAAUUAAAGUUGAGUUGGUAACAAUUUAAGAUAGAUUGUCACAACUUUAGAAUGUUAUAUGUAAUCCCCAUGGUAACCACAAAGAAAAUAUUCAUAGAAGAUACACAAAAAGAAAUGAAAAGAGAAUCAAAAUGUGUUGGUACAAGAAAUCAACUAAACACAAAAGAAAGCAAUCAUGGAGGAAAUGAGGUAUAUAUGGCAAAAGCCUCCAAAGUAUGGUCAGAUAAUCUUAACUUGAGUAAUCAGGAAUCAUCGCUUAAAAUAACUUCUAUCCUUAAUCCAAACACAAAUUUAGGGCCUUGUAUUGUCCAAGGAGAAAAUACCAUCAUUCUAAUUCUUUUA
Molecule: long non-coding RNA, 489 nt
Organism: Suricata suricatta (meerkat)
Lineage: Eukaryota; Metazoa; Chordata; Mammalia; Carnivora; Herpestidae
Exons: 2
Source: RefSeq, a predicted model, not a curated record